GCGGAUGUGGUGGAAUUGGCAGACACGCUGGGUUUAGGUUCCAGUGCCGAAAGCAUGCAGGUUCAAAUCCUGUCAUCCGCACCA
Molecule: transfer RNA, 84 nt
Filed under: Clostridiaceae bacterium
Lineage: Bacteria; Bacillati; Bacillota; Clostridia; Eubacteriales; Clostridiaceae
Description: tRNA-Leu
Rfam family: tRNA
About the family: Transfer RNA (tRNA) molecules are approximately 80 nucleotides in length. Their secondary structure includes four short double-helical elements and three loops (D, anti-codon, and T loops).
Source: RNAcentral